RNAcentral lists this transfer RNA (67 nucleotides) under Halocaridina rubra (Hawaiian volcano shrimp). RNAcentral describes it as "tRNA-Met". Lineage: Eukaryota; Metazoa; Arthropoda; Malacostraca; Decapoda; Atyidae. The record is from RNAcentral.
GAAAAGAUAAGCUAAGUUUAAGCUUAUGGGCUCAUACCCCAUCUAUGAAAAUAUAUUUCUCUUUUUA